CCUAACAAAUACAAAGUUGGCUCCGAUAUCACUGUUGGGAAUUUACUUAAACAUGCAUAGCGGAAAUAAAAAUAAUUUCAAUUCCUACCAGGAUUUAUCUUUGUAUUUAAAUAAGAAUUGUGAUGAGAAUUAUACAUUUUCUUGAAUCUGCAAACUCCUUUGAGUUAUCUUUGUUCUAGCAACUUGAAUCUGCCUCCCACAGCUGUCCAAUUGUCCAGCCUCCAAUGAAAUCCACACAGAGAAUAGACUGCAACUGUUGGAGUUUCUCCUCUUGUACUAGCAAGAAUUAUGAAAAAAUAUAUGGAUCUAAAACCCUAACCAUGUAUUUAUAUAAACUCAAACGGCUCGGCCUGGUUCGGUCCAAUAUUUAAUUAAUCCAUUUAAUUAAAUUCGGUCCGUGAAUUAAUUAAUCCAAUUAAUCAAUUUGGUGCUAUAAAUAACCAAUCCAAUUAAUUAAUUUAACAAACGAUUGUUAAAUUAAUUAAUUGGCAAUUUACAAUCUUCCAAUUCUCUUUUGUGUGCGACCCAUCAGGUUUCCGACCACGAUGUCUAAUGACAUGAAAUAUUAUUUUGAUCUAAUCAAAACUGAUAAAUUAAACACCCUUUUAAUUUAUCACAAAUUCACACUCGUCGUCCAAGAUUGACAUCUAGCAAUGUAUCAGGGCAACACAUAUGAUGGGAAAUGUCACGUGGUAUGACAAAACCAAAUUUAUUCGUUUACCAUAAAACUAUAAUCCCUUCGUUAAUAUGAUCCGAUCAAUUACGAGAUAUUGAAGUGUAUCAAUCUCGAUUACCGAUCAUAUCUUUCAUUCUACUAUUAAGUCAAUAUUAGUCGAAAACUCCUUUUCGACUUAUGUGUAUACCUUGACCAAAAAUUUCGUUAUUGACUUAAUUGAACGAAAUGCAGAUCACGAUCUUUUACUAUCUAAGAUUGACGAAUCCACUAUUGGUCAUUCACAACUUUCAUAUGGUUCUUGACAUACCCGAACGAUGUCAUAUUAGCGGCCCUUGAUUGAGCAACAUCCAACACCGUCAAAGUAUGACUGUCCUCAUACAAGGUACUAUGAUGAUCUCAAGUUAUUGGACCAAUUCCACUACCGAACAUUAGAGAUUAAUAAUUGACACUCAGAUAGUUAUCCAUGUGGAAUCUCUUAGCGGUUCUCUAAUGUUUUGUUCUAUAACAAAACAUCCACGUGUUCAUUUAAGUGUCACCACACUUUAACUUGUGAGAUCAACUACUUACUUCACAAGUAAGAAAUGCCACACGUGAUGGUCUAUCUAUAAUAAUGAUAUCCGUAUCUCGUUAUUACUUAUGACCACGGAUUAUUCAAUAUCCAAUCAUACGUAAUUUGUAUCUUAUAAUCACAACUCCUUAUGAUUAACAAAUCACUUAAAUUUGAAUUUUCGGACUCUAUUAUUUAAUAUUAUUUAUCAGAAAAUUAAUUUAAAUAAAUAAUAGACCUUUCCAAAAUUAAGGGGCUGUUUGAGCCCCAUUACUUGUAGAUUAUAAUGAAAUGAAUAGUAUUUUUUUGAAAAAUGAGUGAUUGAAAUUUUUUUGAUUUACGUAUAAUAUUAUUUUAUUAAAGAUUGUGUGGUUAAAAGUAAAAAAGAAAAAAAUUUAAUUUAAUAUAAUAAGAGAUAAUGAGACUCAAACGGGGACUAAAUACAUUAAACAUAUUAAAAGUGUUUACAACCUAAAUCGAUUGGAUUUAGCGCAUAACACUUACAAUGAACACAAGGAACAACCUCAACAUUGCAAAUUACAAACCUAAACAAAUCUAUGACUACUGUAGGCAACAAACACGGUCAACAUUUUCCAAUUCUCUUCCAAAUAGCAUUUUCCAAUUCUCUUGCAAUUAUUACAGAGAAUGACAAAGAGAAUUGCACUAAAUUUACGCUUGCAAAUAUUAUCGUGACAAACAUGAUAGUAAAGAGAAAAUUCCUAUUUGUAGAUACACCAGAUGGCAAUAAAUUUAUGCUUCUCCAUACUGAAGCAUUUUUGUAGAUACGCAAUUGCAGAAAAUGCCAAAGAGAUAAUCUGACAAAGCAUAUGUAUUGGACACGAAGAAUCAUCUUGCAAGGUUGAAUACUAGUCAAGAGGGAAAAGUUCUCUUGAAGCGUAAAUUUAGUGACAUCUAGCAAGGUGCAUUUUUCAUAGCCAAAGUCUGCAGCUAAGCCAAUCACCAUUGUGUACCCGAUAGAGAAUGUUAUUUUCAGCUUUUUAUGCAAAUAAAAUUGAACCCAUAUAGUAAAUGCAACAAACUAAAAUAGAAGAACCUUACUUGGCAAGAUGAAGACUCUGAUGUUCGAGUUCGUGGCGGCCAGCAGCGAUGAGUUCGCUGAUUUUUUGGUUCUAUUUGGAAUGCUUGCCAACCUCAACCAUUUUUCUUUUAUGGGCUUUUAAGUGUGCCCAAAUCAAUUUUGUAUGGUUGGUUUGCCGGUGACGAGAUUCGCGACGAUUGGAAGCUAAUUAGUGCUCUCUUACACUCUUCUCCCUCAGACGUCCGUGCUGCUAUUUUGAGGGUAAUGAGCUAACUUUCACAUAUUUUUUCAUUUAUUAUCACCAUCCUCUCGGUUUUUUCCUUUCCAACCACGUGUCUGUCAUUUAUUUAUUAUUUAAUACCUGUAUUGAGUAUGUACAAAUGGAUCUGGUGGAAUAGCAUUUUCCUUCCCAAACCCUUGGAUCCGCUUAUUGUGAC
RNAcentral lists this long non-coding RNA (2699 nucleotides) under Olea europaea subsp. europaea. The record is from RNAcentral. Lineage: Eukaryota; Viridiplantae; Streptophyta; Magnoliopsida; Lamiales; Oleaceae.